UUAGGUUAAGUUAAUAAGGGCGCACAGUGAAUGCCUUGGUACUAGGAGCCGAUGAAGGACGGGACUAACACCGAUAUGCUUCGGGGAGCUGUAAGCAAGCUUUGAUCCGGAGAUUUCCGAAUGGGGGAACCCACUGCCCGUAAUGGGGUAGUA
Molecule: ribosomal RNA, 153 nt
Filed under: Heyndrickxia sporothermodurans
Lineage: Bacteria; Bacillati; Bacillota; Bacilli; Caryophanales; Bacillaceae
Description: partial 23S ribosomal RNA
Rfam family: Bacterial large subunit ribosomal RNA
Source: RNAcentral